This is a long non-coding RNA of Pezoporus flaviventris, 1388 nucleotides long. RefSeq lists it as uncharacterized. Lineage: Eukaryota; Metazoa; Chordata; Aves; Psittaciformes; Psittacidae. The transcript has 3 exons. The record is from RefSeq and is a predicted model, not a curated record.
AUCAGGCAUAUAUGCGAGAAGGAAAAUAACCUUUUCAGAAAUCACAGAUUCAUCCUUUGAUGCCACCAUUCAGUAUCAACCUUCAGUACCACAGGGGAGACAGCCCCUGGGCUGCACUGGAGGUGGAGGACCAUGCACUGAGAAGCAGGUGGAAACUGUAACACACAAUUUCCUAUUGGAGGUUCCUUGUUUUGACAAAAAAUCCAUUUUCUAUUGAGCAGAGAUUUAAACAUUCCUGCCUGCUGUAUGAGCAAUGAAGAGCAUCCAUCACACCGGGGGGAGGGAGGAGUGGGUCAUGAAAAGGGAAUUUGGGGGCUCUAUGUGAAAUGUUGGCAAACUUUAUGUCUCCUACAUGGAAGGAUCUAGAAACCAGCCCUGAGCAAAGCAAUGUGGAGGAAAGGUUAUUCCUAUGUUUUUAAUCAGCCACAAUGAAAAGCCUGAUUUGCUGUGAUUGCUGCUGAUGUGAUUGCUUUGACAUCUUUAGAUUUGUUCACACUCUUAGUCCAAAUAUGUGCUAUUUUAGAAAUUGAUACAAUGCAGAAUAUAAAAAGCACAGAUUCAACACUUGCACUAAAUUCAAUCAAAAUUUUAAAGCAAUCUCUACAGUAGUAUUAAAAUUACAGAUAUUAGCAAUCAAUUGAUAAAUUCACAUCAUAAACAGAAUUUGCAUUAUGCAUUUUCUCCUUAUGCCUUCCAUUUUCCAUGCAAAUAAGUAACUAACCCUUGUAACAAAAUACUAUUAUUGCAUAACAAAUUCCAUUUUUCUGUAAGGAGGUAAAAAGCUUCUGCACCAAAAUUGGUCAUUUUUUAAAUGGCAAAAGCAAUAAAAUCACAGACACAGUGUCAAGCUGACUGCAUUUCCAUGGCAGAAAUGGUUUUAUCUCUUGGUCCUAGAAAUGUCUCUUUCACAGAAGGAAAAACCCCAACCCAAACAGCUGUAAGGAGCUGUUUUAACCUUGCACUACUCCCAGUUUCAUACACUUCUCAAAUCCAGGCUGAUUUUAACUUGAACUCUACCCAUGGAUGCACACUGAACAAAUUAAUUUCCAUCCUAGGCUAUUGUUAGUCAACGGUUUUGCUUCAAAUACACUUAGAGGGGUUUUCCCCCAACUUGAACACUGGGGGCUACAGUAAGUUGAGACAGAAGUACAUUCAAAAGGAAAGCUUCUGCUCCAGGUGCCUCUUUGGGAGCUGAUGGGAGUUCUGUGUUUAAGAUGAGACCAUGAGCUCUUCAGUGCAUGGGCAUUACAGUUGAUGUGAGCAGAGAGCCUUCACCUCCUCCUUGUGAAAGUGGGUGGAUCAGAAUUCAGGAGGUGACAAACUUCCCCGUGCCCGUUACAGACUAAAAAGCACCUAGGCAUAGACUUCAGCCCUUGUCCCCCUCCAGG